UACGUAGGGUGCGAGCGUUAAUCGGAAUUACUGGGCGUAAAGCGUGCGUAGGUGGUUUGUUAAGUCUGUUGUGAAGGCCCCGGGCUCAACCUGGGAAUGGCAAUGGAUACUGGCAGGCUAGAGUGCGGUAGAGGGUAGUGGAAUUCCCGGUGUAGCGGUGAAAUGCGUAGAGAUCGGGAGGAACACCAGUGGCGAAGGCGGCUACCUGGACCAGCACUGACACUGAGGCACGAAAGCGUGGGGAGCAAACAGG
RNAcentral lists this ribosomal RNA (253 nucleotides) under uncultured bacterium. Its description in RNAcentral is "partial 16S ribosomal RNA". It matches the Rfam family "Bacterial small subunit ribosomal RNA", at positions 524 to 776 of the family's 1533-position model. The record is from RNAcentral.